Elaeis guineensis (African oil palm) is the source of this 1016-nucleotide RNA transcript. It is a transcript of the gene named syntaxin-22, with no coding region annotated. The record is from RefSeq and is a predicted model, not a curated record. NCBI's taxonomy places the organism in Eukaryota, Viridiplantae, Streptophyta, Magnoliopsida, Arecales, Arecaceae.
CCAUGGCUCCCAAGACUGGUAUCUCGGCCGUGGCCGCCGGAAUAUUCCAGCUCAACACUGCAGUCGCCGGAUUCCGGCGUCUCGUCGACGCCAUCGGAACCUCCAAGAACACAUCGGAGCACCGCCAAGCCCUGCAAGACGCGAGGAGGCGAAUUGGGCAGUUGGUGAAGGAGACCUCUACCAAGCUCAAAUCCCUCACCGAUGCCAACCGCGACGAAAAUCCAAGCAAGAGGGCAGAGGAGGCGAAGCUGGCGAGAGAUUUCCAGGCAGCGAUUCAUGACUUCCAGAAGGCCCAGAAGCUUGCGGAAGACCGGGAGGCAGCCUACGCCCCUUCCCCUUCUCGGUGUCCUUUGCCCACGAGCUCAGGAGCAGAAGAGAAUGUGAAAGAGGAUGGAGAUGAAGAGGGCCGGCUACUUCUUUGGGAGCAGAAGAGACAAGAGAUACUAUCAUUGGACAAUGAAAUAGCAUUCAAUGAAGCCGUGAUAGAGGAAAAGGAUCAAGGAAUAAAAGCAAUAAACUAUGAUGUAGAACAAGUAAAUGAAAUAUAUCGAGACCUUGCUGUCCUACUUCAUGGCCAGCGUGUUACUAUAGAUGACAUUGAUAAACACAUGGAGGAGACAUCUGCUUCAACAGCCCAAGCUAAAACUGAACUCCGCAAGGCUCCCAAAAAUACUAGGUCUAGAUCUUUGUGGGUUUUUUGGUAAAUGAAAGAGAAAUGAAAGAGAAAAUACAGGACAGGCAGGCAGGCAUGCAAAGACUGCAUGCAGGCAGAUAAGCUUCAUGCUAUUUGUUUGGGAUGAUGUUAAGUGUGUUGUUGGGCGUUGGUAAUCUUCGUCAUAGUACUGGUUAUCCUUCUUCUUGUCCUCAUCAUGUACCAAUAAGUUGCCUUGCAAGAAUGAUUUCUUUGCUGUAUUUUGGUAUAAUAACUGGAUACUACAAGCACAUUAUUUGUACAUAUUAAUGGAUAAACUUUACCUACGUCAAUGCAUCUAUCAUGACUGAAAAUUUUGGAGCAA